UUUAAAUCCCAAUAAAAUAAAAAGAGAUCUUGGUCACAUGGAGGCAUGUGAUGAUGAGGAUGGGAAUGGCUUUGUAAUAUUCAUUCUCCAGCUCUUUCUUUUUCCAUAACUAUAUAUGCACACAUAUAUAUUUAAUUUCCAGUAAUUGUUUCUUCAUUUCUUUUAUAUAUGUAAAUAAUUUUCAAUUUUUUUUUUGUUUUUUUUACCGUAUUAUAUAGAAAAUAUUAUUAUAGUACCCCACAACGCACUCAGUAGGAAAGAAAGGCAUUUUGUGGGUAAAAUGUCUUAUGACUAACCCUACUCAACCCACUCUUUUCCACCCUCCCUCUCUAUAAAGCUGAUAGACAGAUUAUUUGUUGUAGAGUGCCAGUGGUCCUUGAGAGACCUUUGUAUGAAGGGGUAUGGCCUUUUUUUUCCAACCUCUCUCUCUCUCUCUCUCUCUCUCUCUCUCUCUCUCUCAUAUACUAUACACUGGCUAGCUGAAAACUACAAAGGCGCACAAGAAGGGAUGUUGACUAGCACCAUGGAAGCUCAAGAAAGCUGUGGGAGACCAUGGCAAUUCUGGACUUAACCAUUUCAAUUUCCCUACAACGUUCGCUGCAGACAACAUGAAAAAUGAUUUUGUCUUUUUCACCAUAGAUCCUGGUAAUUCUCUCACUUCUAUUUCGUAAUUCGAACGCAUUUCGUCAAAAUAUUUUCUUUCAGAAUUCUUUCAUAAUUAUAUGAGACCGUAUUAGUUUCUUCUUAUAAUUUGAAUAUAUUUGUAUCAAAUAUUGUUCUUUAAUAUGUAAAUAUACACAUGGGACCCCUCUAAUGAAACUGUCUUUGCAUUUUAUCUGAAAAAAAUUAUCUAAUAAAUGAAUUUUGAUACUGCUGAGUUACAAUGUGGGUUACAUUUUACAAAAAAAUUACAAUGCACGUGUGUAUGAGAUGCACCGUAUAACAGAUGACGGGAUUUUGACAUUUUCAAUCUUGCCGCUCAAGCACCCGUGCAUCUCAUACACCGGUGUACUGUAGGAAAGCCCUAUAAUUUAAAUUCCCUUCUCCUUAAGGUUUGAGUUAGAAUUGUGUACUUGGUAAGAGGGUACUUGCUGCCGCAGUAGACAAACCCCAUAAGGUAUGCUGCUGUAGUAGUACAGAUGAAAUGAUGAAGAUGAAAUUCAGUGAUUUUUGUGCCAGUAUUUUUUUUUUUUUAACCUAAAACUUUGUUAUAUCUACUAGCGCACGUUUGAGCCAUGCAGAACGGUAAUUUUAAAAUGUAUCCUUUUCUUGUUGUCUUGUACAUUUAGGUGAAAUUUCAAUUUAAUUUAAAAAAAAUGUUCCCCUGCUGAUUCAUUCAAUCAAUAUGGUGAAAAAAAUGAGUUUGUGCUUCAGAGAAGAUUCCCAUACCCUUUCCUUUUUAUCAAUAAUGAUGACACUUCCCUCCCUUCCUGCAGUUAGCCUUUUGAUUUUCCUUCCACAUCUUCUCCUACAUUUCUGUGAAAAGGGUUAAACUUUGUCCCUGUCUGACAUAGUUUUUUAACCACAUCAUCUCAUUCUUACAUCAGUAAUCAGUUUUAUUUCUCUCUCUCUCCCCCUCUCCCUCUCUCUCCCUCUCUCUCUCCCCCCCCCCCCCAUUUUCUCUGUCUCUCUCUCUGUCUCCUUCUCACACUCACUUUUAUGAAUUUAUAUUUGUACAGAAGAAUAGGGUUGUCAUUGGCAUUACACCUACACAAUUAUGCUUCCCUUGAUCCAAGACUCAAAUUAAACCGUAAAUAAAGUUUUGAUGAAAAAACCAGUGUUUUUUCUCUUCAUUGUAACCAGCCGCACUGCAUGAAGCUUUCGAAAAUUUUACAAACGUUUCUGCAAUUAUACAUGAGCUUUUUCGGUCUCCAGUGAUUAUCCACGCUACGCUAGCAAGCUAGAAGAACCAAAACAAAUUUGGCAGUCUUGAAACUAACAGUGAUUGGAGUGGUUGUUUAGGCCCUACUUUAUAUCUGUAUAUCACUUCAGUAAAGUACUCAUAUUUUUUUUUUCAAUGAGUUUAUUUUAUCUAUCUGGUACAUCAUACAUGACUAGGGGAUUUUCUAAUAUACACUGGUGUGUAACAUCCACCGACGCUCAUGAUUGUAGGAUCCUUGGUUGCGCAUCUAACACCCUAUUCAAUUUUGUUUGCCAAUUGUCAUGCAUACACCGAAGCAUAGUACAAUUUUCGUUUCAAUAGUUCAAAAUAUUUUAGUAAGUUGAUCAACUAGUUAGCUGGCUUUAACUUUUGUCAUCAACACAUUACACUAUAUUUGGUAAAAACCCUUUGUUCCUUUUUUCUGUCACAUUGCUUCAUAUGUACAGUUUCAGCAAAGUAUAUUUUCAUUGGCUAAGCUUGGUUACAUCUUCAAUUACAAGUUGAAUACGACCAAUUCAGCAACUAUAUGAUAUUUGGCAAAUUGAAAUCGAUGGUAAUGAUGGAUGCAACAUAUACUACUAGCAUAUAUUGAGCAAUUUGUAACAGCAGAAUGAUGAAUCGCAAUAAAGUUAGCUGUCUGUGCAGUGUUGACGAGCACCA
Molecule: long non-coding RNA, 2542 nt
Organism: Pyrus x bretschneideri (Chinese white pear)
Lineage: Eukaryota; Viridiplantae; Streptophyta; Magnoliopsida; Rosales; Rosaceae
Exons: 2
Source: RefSeq, a predicted model, not a curated record